RNAcentral lists this ribosomal RNA (443 nucleotides) under uncultured bacterium. Its description in RNAcentral is "partial 16S ribosomal RNA". It matches the Rfam family "Bacterial small subunit ribosomal RNA", at positions 338 to 795 of the family's 1533-position model. The record is from RNAcentral.
CCUACGGGUGGCAGCAGUGGGGAAUAUUGGGCAAUGGGCGCAAGCCUGACCCAGCAACGCCGCGUGAAGGAAGAAGGCUUUCGGGUUGUAAACUUCUUUUCUCAGGGACGAAGCAAGUGACGGUACCUGAGGAAUAAGCCACGGAUAAAUACGUGCCAGCAGCCGCGGUAAUACGUAGGUGGCAAGCGUUAUCCGGAUUUUCUGGGUGGAAAGGGCGUGUAGGCGGGACUGCAAGUCAGAUUGGAAAACCACGGGCUCAACCUGUGACCUGCAUUUGAAACUGUAGUUCUUGAGUACUGGAGAGGCAGACGGAAUUCCUAGUGUAGCGGUGAAAUGCGUAGAUAUUAGGAGGAACACCAGUGGCGACGGCGGUCUGCUGGACAGCAACUGACGCUGAGGCGCGAAAGCGUGGGGAGCAAACAGGAUUAGAUACCCGAGUAGUC